Molecule: ribosomal RNA, 216 nt
Filed under: Glomeromycotina sp.
Lineage: Eukaryota; Fungi; Glomeromycota
Description: partial small subunit ribosomal RNA
Rfam family: Eukaryotic small subunit ribosomal RNA (bases 44-216)
Source: RNAcentral
GGGUCAGUAGGUUGGUCGUGCCACCGGUACGUACUGGUCUCACUGAUUCCUCCUUCCUGAAGAACCGUAAUGCCAUUAAUUUGGUGUUGCGGGGAAACAGGACUGUUACUUUGAAAAAACUAGAGUGUUUAAAGCAAGCUAACGCUUGAAUACAUUAGCAUGGAAUAAUGAAAUAGGACGAUCGACCCUAUUUUGUUGGUUUCUAGGAUUGACGUA